CAUAUCUAUUUACCGUUUUUUUUUUCUUAUCUUUCUUUGCUACUCCAGAUUGAAGUCCGAAAAGAUUGACUUGAAAGGCUUUGAGGCUCCUCAAAAAUAGCGUUCAUAGGGCAGUAAAUAGGUUGGCAAACAAGGAAUAGGAGGACCUGUGGUUUACACCCAGUGUCAACAACAAGAUAAUUUGCCUAUGGUUUUAUUUUCCUUCAAGCUACAAGAAGAGCAAUUCUCCAGUUAAAUC
Molecule: long non-coding RNA, 238 nt
Filed under: Phasianus colchicus (ring-necked pheasant)
Lineage: Eukaryota; Metazoa; Chordata; Aves; Galliformes; Phasianidae
Description: lncRNA (ENSPCLG00000005672.1)
Source: RNAcentral